GGAAGGUUGGCAGAGUGGCUUAUUGCGCUUGGUUGCUAACCGAGUGAACGUUACCUUAGCGUUCCACUGGUUCGAAUCCAGUACCUUCCU
RNAcentral lists this transfer RNA (90 nucleotides) under Streptococcus uberis. RNAcentral describes it as "tRNA-Ser". It matches the Rfam family "tRNA". Rfam says of the family: Transfer RNA (tRNA) molecules are approximately 80 nucleotides in length. Lineage: Bacteria; Bacillati; Bacillota; Bacilli; Lactobacillales; Streptococcaceae. The record is from RNAcentral. RNAcentral also lists the same sequence under 2 other names.